UUUGACAGCUACUGCAGAAUGUGAUGUCAACAUUAUAGAGAAUUAUGAAAAUGAUCACCAUCAUGUACAGGUUAUUUACAUCAGAUUUCCCAGGAUGUGCUGUAUAACUGUCUAAAUGAUGAAGAAAAUGAAGAUUGAUUGCUAAUCUACAGGAUCCAGAUCCAGAUGACGUAUUUUAAAGUGUAGCUUUGGAAAAGAAGAGGUUAUCCCCACUAUACAGAUUUUCAUAAGGUGAUAUGCAGUUGUUAAGAAGAAAGUGAAGAAAUCAACUUCUUACAGAUAUACUCCUUUUGUGAAUAUUUGGACCCUGCUCUACACAGAGACAAUGAAAGAAUUCAGAACCCAGUGUUAAGAGAGAUCUCCCUGACUGAGGAAAUCCACACGGGAUUCUGUUAUAAAACAUCAGGAUAAAGAAAUAAAUGUCUGCUGUAAAUAAUGUAUAGAGCAGUGUACCAGAAAUCUGUCAGAGUGAGAGGUGUUAGUC
Long non-coding RNA from Saccostrea cuccullata (small rock oyster), 484 nucleotides. RefSeq lists it as uncharacterized. NCBI's taxonomy places the organism in Eukaryota, Metazoa, Mollusca, Bivalvia, Ostreida, Ostreidae. The transcript is spliced from 6 exons. The record is from RefSeq and is a predicted model, not a curated record.